Non-coding RNA from Macaca mulatta (Rhesus monkey), 1420 nucleotides. Lineage: Eukaryota; Metazoa; Chordata; Mammalia; Primates; Cercopithecidae. The record is from RefSeq and is a predicted model, not a curated record.
CACUCCAGCCUGGACAACAGAAUGAGACCCUGUCUCUAAAAACAAAAAGCAGUAAGAAAACAGGACCAUCACUCACAGCACCUCUGCCUCUGCCCUCCCUGCUUGAAUGAGGAGCAGGGCGUCUCAGCUGCUCAGAGCAGCCCUUGAAUGAGCCCCAGCUAUUUCUGGGGUCCUCAGACGAAACCUCCCAUGGCCAGGUCAUACCCAACACGGGCCUCCUCCCCUGUUCCGGCACCCGCUCGCAGAUGCUGAGUGACAGAGGCUCAGGUUUCGGGUGUUCCUGGCAAAGCCUCACCCCCGAGGCCCCACAGCUCAGACCCAGUCCUUGGUUCACAUGGCCUCACAUCCAGCCUCUUUUUCCCUUAAGACCGAUUUUUCCUGGGAGGUCACUGGAUCCCUCAUUCAGGUGGAGUGCUUCAGGGUGACACUUUUUCCAGGGGUGAGCCAGGCCUGCAGAAUCCCAGUGUCACAAGCAGGCCUUGCCUGAGCCUCCACCUGACCCCCUGCUCCUCCUCUCCCACAGGGAAUGUGACGUCCUCUUCCCCGGGCACAUCCACCUGCAGAGGGCCCAGCCCAUCCACUGGAGACACUGGAUUAUGAGAACUCAACUUUGGGGCCAUCACUCUCAACAGCAUGGAUGCCACCAGUGAGCGGGACUUGCUGGGAAAUCCUGCAAGGGCAUAAAACUGAAGUAAAUGGAUUGGAUGGAACUGGAGUCAAGGGUGACUCCUGGAUUUACAUAACAGGCAUCCCACAACCAUGGCUGGCAGAUGCCAAGGGGAUGUGUGAGAUGGCCCAGCUCCAGGACAGGCAUGUGGCACCCAUGAAACUCAACUGGAGGGAAGUUGGGGAGAGCCUCACAGCGCUGGACAAGCCAUUGGAUGGCACUGCCCCAGGGACACACCCAGUGGCGGGGACCGGGAUAUGGAGGACCUAAGGCAAAGGGUGGCUUAAAACGUGACAGCGGAUCUGCCGCUGGGGAAAUGCAAGAGGGGAUUUGACAGCUGGGCCAGAUGUUCCAGGACAGCAGUUUCCAAAAGAUUUUCCAUCCAAACUUCCAGCAAGAAGUAGAUCUUCCACUGUAACCCAGAGCAUAUCUGCGCAUUCAGGUAACUGAAGCAACAUUCCGGGAACCGUCACCAUCCCUCCCGUGGAACAGCUCGCUCUCCAGCUGGAGUCAGCUCUAGGCGGCCUCACUUUAACAAAAGGUUAGCUGCAGCCAUUGGAAUGAAUUUCAUGCGCUCUAUGAGUUGCAGUGCAAAAUUCGAAUAGUGGCAGUUGAAGCUCAGUAUCAUCAAGGAUUCAUUUACUUUAUGAUGGUUAACAACAUUUUCCAAGCCACACUAACCAGGCCAGUUAGUAAUAAUAAUAAUGAUAAUCGGGCGGGCGCGAUGGCCCACGCCUGUAAUCCCCGCUCUUU